This is a long non-coding RNA of Pezoporus flaviventris, 1335 nucleotides long. RefSeq lists it as uncharacterized. NCBI's taxonomy places the organism in Eukaryota, Metazoa, Chordata, Aves, Psittaciformes, Psittacidae. The record is from RefSeq and is a predicted model, not a curated record. The transcript has 3 exons.
GGGAUGAGCUAUAAGGUUCCUUCCAAUCCAAACCAUUCUAUGAUAUGUUUCAUCUUCUUUCUGAAUAUGCUUCAUGGAUGUACAGCAAGUGGCCCGAUGCAUUUUGCGUAUCUGCACAGCCACACAAUGGAUAGCUCAUAGUCUGGGGCUGAAUGGCACAUUCUAUUUGAUCUGGAAUGGAAAUUUUCCCAGGUUUUUGCACCAAACUUGUGGUAGGAUGCCUGGCAAGUGGUGGCCAAAGUGACACCAGGAAAAGAGAGAGGGUAUUUGACAACCUUGGUCAUGAUGGGUGAGUCCAGUGAGCAACACUGGUCAUCACCUCUCUCCUUGUUUGUCCCUGUGCCUCUCCAGGGGUCAGCACUGGUGGGCCAGGUAAGCUGUAAGCAGGGACCAUGCCUGUGUGGUAAGCACCUGGCUGGGACCGGCAGCUUGUGCUGGUGAGUUCUAGUACUUUUGGUGGCACAGAGGUCCAGUUCUGAACAGAGCUGAGGAGUAUUCCUGACAUCUAGUUCAUGGAAUCAUAAGAUCAUAGAACCAGUUAACUCAUCCCAGCAGACCAUGCUUCAGUCCCAAGCUUUGACAAGCACGGAAGCCCAGACUGUGGCAGAGGCCUUGUGUCCUGGAAACCCCAUCUUUGCAUAAGAGGGGAGGCCUGCAGGGUUCACUGGCACUGUGACAGGGAACAAGGCUUGGCCUUGGCUGUGCAGUUGCUCCCUUUGGAAGUGUUUUUCCGUGUCUCAGCUGGUGCAGAUUGUGCUGGUCUCAGUGACAUGUGGAGACUGUUACACACAGAUCGAGCACAGCAUGCCAGCUUCUUUUCUGUCUCCUUAGCUGUUUUACAAUGACUUCCCAAUUCAAUUGUUAACAUUUUUCAUAACUAUAUUGGAGCAGCUGCAUCAGUCUGGAAUUUGUACACAUGUUCUGGAUUUUGCAAUGUUUCUAACUCACAUGGGGCACCUCUCACAAACUGUUUUCUCCAUGGAGAGAAUCCUUGAAGCCAGCCAGCAUUGCUGAUGGUACUGCAGCCCCUGCUGGAGUGAUGAUCUUCCUCAGGUAACCAGCUCCUUCUCCAGCCUCUGCUGGGGAGGAGGUCUGGUCUGGAGAGUGAAAACAGCUUUGCUACUUGGAGAGGCGUCCACAAAAGAGCAAAGCUCUAAGGACAGUUCCCUACAUUGUGCCCCACAAGUGCUUUUCAGCAGUGUAACAUCAACUCUGCCUGUGUACCGAUCACAGUGGGUCCUGCUCUGUGCUGGGGCCUUUAGGCGCCACCACGAAUAACAAAUACGAUUUUCUCUUUAUACUUGUCUCCUUCAUCUCCAACCAUGCUGCAGUGCC